This 497-nucleotide ribosomal RNA is filed under the name uncultured bacterium. RNAcentral's name for it is "partial 16S ribosomal RNA". It matches the Rfam family "Bacterial small subunit ribosomal RNA", at positions 28 to 507 of the family's 1533-position model. The record is from RNAcentral.
GAUGAACGCUGGCGGCGUGCCUAAUACAUGCAAGUCGAGCGAACGGACGAGAAGCUUGCUUCUCUGAUGUUAGCGGCGGACGGGUGAGUAACACGUGGAUAACCUACCUAUAAGACUGGGAUAACUUCGGGAAACCGUAGCUAAUACCGGAUAAUAUUUUGAACCGCAUGGUUCAAAAGUGAAAGACGGUCUUGCUGUCACUUAUAGAUGGAUCCGCGCUGCAUUAGCUAGUUGGUAAGGUAACGGCUUACCUAGGCAACGAUGCAUAGCCGACCUGAGAGGGUGAUCGGCCACACUGGAACUGAGACACGGUCCAGACUCCUACGGGAGGCAGCAGUAGGGAAUCUUCCGCAAUGGGCGAAAGCCUGACGGAGCAACGCCGCGUGAGUGAUGAAGGUCUUCGGAUCGUAAAACUCUGUUAUUAGGGAAGAACAUAUGUGUAAGUAACUGUGCACAUCUUGACGGUACCUAAUCAGAAAGCCACGGCUAACUACGUG